RNAcentral lists this transfer RNA (63 nucleotides) under Scraptia sp. SCR01. RNAcentral's name for it is "tRNA-Pro". Lineage: Eukaryota; Metazoa; Arthropoda; Insecta; Coleoptera; Scraptiidae. The record is from RNAcentral.
CAGAAAAUAGUUUAAAUAAAAUAUUAAUUUUGGAGAUUAAAGAUAGUAGAUUAUUUUUUCUGA